Long non-coding RNA from Triticum dicoccoides, 802 nucleotides. RefSeq lists it as uncharacterized. The record is from RefSeq and is a predicted model, not a curated record. NCBI's taxonomy places the organism in Eukaryota, Viridiplantae, Streptophyta, Magnoliopsida, Poales, Poaceae. The transcript has 2 exons.
AUCUACUACCUCCCCUGAUCCCUUCACUCUCUCCACUCCCAGACUCCCAGUCCACUCACGAUGGCAGAUCUCGGCGAGUCACCCACCCCACCGCCUCCGCUCUCGCCCCCACAGCCGGCGACCUCGUCUCGCACCGCCACCCCAUCUCAUCCCCUCCCCAACUCCCCUCCACUCAUCCGACGGCGGCUAGAGACGCACACAACCGGCGACCAACAUCACACAAAGGUCGCCACCGCCGGCGGUGGAAGGACAGUCUUCUCCCGCCGCUAGCCGCAGCCUCCGCCUCGCCCUGAUCCUCGGCCUCCUCGACCGCCGCUCGCUCUCCUGGGAAGCACCUCGCCGCCUCCCUGCCCAUGCCGUCUUCGCCGACUGCCCUGCUCGCGCCGACCUCGCGAAUCUCGCGGCCGCGCUUGGCAGUGCUCGACUUGUCCUCGCCGCCGCCAGCGGCGACGGGUCCUUCCCGUGCCUCUACCGCCUCGUGGCCGAGUCCUCCUCUCCCCAAAUUGACACCCGCCCCUUUGUCGAGCCUGCUGUGCCAGCGACAUGAGCAGGAUGGUGGCCGUCGAGGCUUCGGAUGCGGUCGACGCAGAUGAGAACAGUUCAUAGAGUCGUACCAGGCAGAACAAGUUGUUCCACGCAUGGGGUCUGAUUUAAAUAUUUUCGGAGAUGCAUAAUAUGCCAAACACUUCUAAAGGUGCCUCGUCCAUGGGCGCAUGAUAGUGGAAAAACAUCUGUAAAUUGUGCAGGAUCCUAUAGAGCAAAUGGGCAUCAUCGACGUGCAGUACACGCUCUCUUAGGCAGA